AGAUUAUCACCUGGUUCUCUAGAAAGAGAAGGUGAUACUGCCCAGAGCCCUUCCUGACAAAGAUGUUCCUCAGAGGGAAAAGCACAGGACAGCUGUUGUGGAGAAGCUUUGGGGCACUUCAUGAACAGGACUCCUACUACGCAUCAGGAAUGGUGUGAUAAAAUACUUCGGAGAGUGCUGGGCACAUGGCGAGUGCAUGUGAGGCCAGAAGUGUUCUUCACAAACUACUCCUUGUUGGACAGAGGGAUGGAAGUCCUCCACCAUCUAUGGAGACAUGAGGAGUUUGGUGAGCUGUAUUCGGAGGUGUAACCUUGCCCAAGUCAGCUAGCUUCUAUGGACUGCAGUCUCCUCACCUGUAAAAGAAGGAAGGACUGGAGAAUCCCCACUGACAGUAUGUGGAUGGGGAGUGAGAAGUUCCGUGGCAACAAGGAGGAAGUAUCUGCUUUGUAGACACUCCUUGUGUCCCUGUGGCCUCUGCUGAGACACCUCCUUUCUCGGGGGCCAUGGCUAUCAGGCCGUCCCCGGUGCACUCCCGUCACUAGAGCACCUUGUUUCUCCUGCCCAGGUGCACUGUCACUGCUCCUGGCUGCUGAGCCACCUGCUGACCAGCGUUUGCUGCAAAAUGAAGAUGAAGAAGCCACUGGAGACUGGGUGGGCUGAGACAGGCUGUGUCUUCACUUGCUUGGAUGCAUAAACAAAACAGCUGAGCACGUACUCGUCAAACACAUCAAAGUCACAAAAGACAAGGAAAGACUGAGGAAUUCCCACAAACUAAGGCGUCUAAGGAGACAUGAUGACUAAAGGUAAUGAGGAAUCCUGGGUUGGAUCUGGCAACAGGAAAAGAACGUUAAUCAAAAAACUGAUGAAAUAUGAAUAGUUUCUAGUUAAUUAAUACAGUUAAUGUCAUUUUGAUAAUCGUACUAUGGUUAUGUAAGAUGUUAACACUGGGGGAAGUUGGGUGAAAGCUACACGGGGGCUCUAUGUCUAAAAUUAUUUCCAAAUAAAAACUUUAAAAAAAAGAACCCUCCCUCUAAUUUAAAUGCUCAUCAGCAGUAGAGAGAUGAAUUAUUGUGAUGGUUUUUGAGAUGCUGGCAAUGUUACGUUUCUUAUCCUGUAUUAUGCUUGCAAUUUUCCACUUUGUAAAAAUUCACUGAGCUGUAAUUUGAUUCAACUCUUAGCUUUCAAAUAUUGCAUUGGCUUCUGAAUUCACAUGGUUCUAUGAAAAUCAAGAUUCAUUAGUCAGGUUUACAUCUAAGACUAAAGGCUUUAACUAUAUUAGAGAACAGUCUGGUGCUUAAUUUAGAGAGGUAGCAUUUGAUGCGCGAAUAUACUGACCCCAUAAAGGGUCAGUCUCGGGGACAUUCACCAGAUGCCAAUGAUAUGCUGCUGAAUCUUCCAAGAAGACAGUGAUACUAUCUGCAAAUAAUGAUGUUUUCUGAAGUUAAAAUUUUUCUGUCAAAGUCUCAGGGUUUUUUGUCUGUUUUACCAGUUUAAUUUAAUUUGUUCUAAUUCCAAAACACUACCAGUGUUAAAUAAUUUUGGUAAAUAUGGGUAUAUCAAUGGUUUCAGCUUUACUUAAUAGACAUCUCAAAUAAAUGGCUUAAACAAUAAAUUAGAUUAUUUCAUUUCAAAUAAACUUUCAAUAGGAUUAUUCCAGGACUGGUUAAUGUUAUUUCUACAAUAUCAAUUUAAGAAUUCAUAUUCUUUGCAUCUUUCCUCUCUGCCAUCUGCAGAAAAGUCUGACAUUCCCCAUGGUAGCAAGAAAGAUACCGAAGCACCAGCUUUCACACUCACACACCACAACAUACUAAAACCGGAACAGAGGGACUUCUGUGCGUCAAUCUUGCCCAUUUCCCCAGAAGCCUCACAACAGAAAUCUUAGCUUUUCAUUUUCAGAAUUUUAUCAUGUGCUCUUUUCUAAGGCAAUCUUUGCCAAGGUGAACAGAAUAUUACCAGGAAUGGUUCAGACCUGUCACAUUCCACCCUGUGGGGAUGUAGAAGGACCUAGAAUGCCAUGGAGGACACAGCCACCUGGCACCUGAGUGACAAUGAGGGUCUAUUAGCAGAAGGAAGUAAUUCUUGAGUAGGACUUGACCAGCUGCCAGAGAGGACACGACUCCAUUAUACUUGACUGGCGUGUUCUUUGUAGGGGAUCUUCUGUCCUCUGAGGAACGACGCAGCUGUUGUUGAGAUACUCAUUGUAAUAUUUUUAAAGUAUCAUUUUAUUUCUGGUACACUGAAACUUUUUACUGGGAACUGUUUCAGUACUGUGUCAAAUGACUUGUUUUGUUUUUGUUUCCUUCUUUUCCCCUAGGUGGGAAUGUGUUUGCCAUUUCUCUAGAAGAUACCUUUUAACUUACUGACACGCUUUAUUGUAUUAAGACAUUUUAUAACAUUAAAUCCUUCUUACAGUCUCAGAAUAUAUCUUACUUGGGCAUAUGAGUACUUGUAUUUGAACUAUAAUUUUUUUUCAAAUUUUUGAGAUAUACCUAUUUGCAAAAAAAGUUUCUGCAUAAUGGUUAUGAUAGUAAUCACAAAAUGAUUUUAAAACUAUUUGUUUUAUGUUCCAUUUAUUUUAUGAAAUAUGUUCCUUAAAAUUUUGAAAGAUUUUUUUCUACA
Molecule: long non-coding RNA, 2619 nt
Organism: Camelus dromedarius (Arabian camel)
Lineage: Eukaryota; Metazoa; Chordata; Mammalia; Artiodactyla; Camelidae
Exons: 7
Source: RefSeq, a predicted model, not a curated record